RNAcentral lists this ribosomal RNA (351 nucleotides) under uncultured bacterium. RNAcentral describes it as "partial 16S ribosomal RNA". It matches the Rfam family "Bacterial small subunit ribosomal RNA", at positions 338 to 687 of the family's 1533-position model. The record is from RNAcentral.
CCUACGGGAGGCAGCAGUGAGGAAUAUUGGUCAAUGGGCGAGAGCCUGAACCAGCCAAGUCGCGUGAGGGAAGACGGUCCUAUGGAUUGUAAACUUCUUUUGCCGGGGGGCAAAAAGCGGUACGUGUACCUGACCGAGAGUACCCGGAGAAAAAGCAUCGGCUAACUCCGUGCCAGCAGCCGCGGUAAUACGGAGGAUGCGAGCGUUAUCCGGAUUUAUUGGGUUUAAAGGGUGCGGAGGCGGCGAGUUAAGUCAGCGGUAAAAUUGCGGGGCUCAACCCCGACGAGCCGUUGAAACUGGCGUGCUGGAGAGGGCGAGAGGUAUGCGGAAGGCGUGGUGUAGCGGUGAAAU